Molecule: ribosomal RNA, 422 nt
Filed under: uncultured bacterium
Lineage: Bacteria
Description: bacterial SSU rRNA
Rfam family: Bacterial small subunit ribosomal RNA
Source: RNAcentral
UUUGGAAUAUUGCACAAUGGGGGAAACCCUGAUGCAGCGACGCCGCGUGGAGGACGAAGGAUCUAGGUCUGUAAACUCCUUUUGCCAGGAAAGACUUAGGACGGUACCUGGCGAAUAAGCCCCGGCUAACUACGUGCCAGCAGCCGCGGUAAUACGUAGGGGGCAAGCGUUGUCCGGAUUUACUGGGUGUAAAGGGCGCGCAGGCGGAAUGGAAAGUCAGUGGUGAAAUCCUACAGCUUAACUGUAGAACUGCCUUUGAUACUUUCAUUCUUGAGUUCGGGAGAGAGAGACGGAAUUCCAGGUGUAGUGGUGAAAUACGUAGAUAUCUGGAAGAACACCAGUUGCGAAGGCGGUCUCUUGGUCCGAUACUGACGCUGAGGCGCGAAAGCGUGGGGAGCAAACAGGAUUAGAGACCCCGGUAG